UAACACCUUCACCUUUGGAUAAAAUCACCUCUCAAACAGUAACCACAGUUUGAAACUAGCCUCAUGCUUGCAAUAUGAUGCAUGAUUUUUUUUUUCUGCGUAAUGCUCCAUAAUCAUGGAAAUGCUACGCGCUUUAUUAUUUUUCUAUGCAACAUGCUAUGCGAUUUUUUUCAUGAUGAAUGCAUAAAAACGUCCCCCUCCAGGGGCUCUUCUGAGUAGCUCGAGACAUUCUGCUGAGGAACUCAUCAAUACUCCAAUCUCC
RNAcentral lists this long non-coding RNA (262 nucleotides) under Lathyrus oleraceus (garden pea). RNAcentral describes it as "Pisum sativum (pea) long non-coding RNA (PSAT_LNC005892)". The record is from RNAcentral. Lineage: Eukaryota; Viridiplantae; Streptophyta; Magnoliopsida; Fabales; Fabaceae.